Molecule: ribosomal RNA, 484 nt
Filed under: uncultured bacterium
Lineage: Bacteria
Description: partial 16S ribosomal RNA
Rfam family: Bacterial small subunit ribosomal RNA
Source: RNAcentral
GACGAACGCUGGCGGCGUGCUUAACACAUGCAAGUCGAACGAUGAGCCCGGAGCUUGCUCCGGUGGAUUAGUGGCGAACGGGUGAGUAACACGUGAGUAACCUGCCCUUGACUCUGGGAUAACUGCGGGAAACUGUAGCUAAUACCGGAUACGACCCUCGGCGGCAUCGCCAGGGGGUGGAAAGAAUUUCGGUCAAGGAUGGACUCGCGGCCUAUCAGCUAGUUAGUGAGGUAACGGCUCACCAAGGCGACGACGGGUAGCCGGCCUGAGAGGGUGACCGGCCAAAAUGGGACUGAGACACGGCCCAGACUCCUACGGGAGGCAGCAGUGGGGAAUAUUGCACAAUGGGCGCAAGCCUGAUGCAGCAACGCCGCGUGAGGGAUGACGGCCUUCGGGUUGUAAACCUCUUUUAGUAGGGAAGAAGCGAAAGUGACGGUACCUGCAGAAAAAGCACCGGCUAACUACGUGCCAGCCGCCGCAGUAA